UCAAGCUCCCAAACUUUGCAUCAGAUGCGACCAAAUGGGCUUUAACACAUUAAAACCAACAGUCAGGAACAGUGGUGAUUUUUCCAAAAGCUUCUUCCGGUGACGAGUCAGCAUGUCAACUGAAAUCAGGUCAAGUUCUUGAAUGGUGCAUAUGAAGACGUCAAAGUUUGGGAGGUUGAGGGGGAAAAAAUACUUAAUUUGUACAUUUUAUCUUCUAGCAAUCAUAAGAGGCAUCAGUGUCUGUUUAUAUACAAGUUCUGUAUCCUUUGGUUUCAUGUGGGGGGAUGCGUUCCUUGUGUCCUUCUGUAGAUUCAAAUCAACCAAAUUCAAGAAGUUCAAAAGGGCACACGGUAAAGCAUGACUUGGCAACUGUAAUCAAGCAAUUGAAAGGGAAAAAAACGAACCUUUAUUAUACACAAAAUCUGACAUUUCAAAUGACUGUAAAUGAAAUGACAAAAACUGGGAUUGCAUGGAUUCGAGCGAAGAUUCUGACUGCUCGUGUUGCUGGGAUAAAAUAAGCUCAUUCAGGUUGAUGUGAAAUUCAUGCUCUGCAUUUCUAGAGUGGAAAAUGAGUUCACACCAGCCUAACCUGUGGUCAGAGGCAGGACUGUGUGAAGAGCUCAGCUCAAAGGAUCUGUUCCUGGAAGCGACGUGUCGACUUUCUACAAUUGCCAACAACAAAAAGUGAGGGGCUAAAAUGCACGUAUCGCUUGUGUAAAGAUUGGAUACAUUGAGUGUAAAGCCUGAAACAUUCCCCAAAAGUUACUUGUUAUUAGAGGUAUAUUCAGUAAUAGGGUGACGGACAAGAAUGUGUGCAGAGUUUUCAAACACUCAUCACUCAAACCAGUUUUAUUUAACAACUUAGCUCAUUUGAUGAUGACGAUUUCAGCUACCAACAAAGUUUGUAGUAAUCUCAGCUCUGUUUAACACGAGAUUUUCCUCCCAAAUCAGUGCAGAAAAUGCAAAAAGCCUGUCUAUCCUUUCUGGGCCUGGGAAGUAAAGCAAAGUUCCUGUGUUAGUUAUUAAAUAAAAAAAUAACGUUUCUUAUGUCAGUGAUACUUUUAUUAUGUGGAAAAUUGAAUUUAAAUUACAAAAAAAAUAAAAAAAUAAAAAUUCAAAUUAAAUAAAUAAGGUCAAGCAUAGUACUUGUAUAACUUUAUUAAUUGUUGUGCUUUAACCUCGGGUCAUUUCCUUUCAAAAUAUAAAUGUAAAUGGAACAGAAAAUAUGCGAAUGGGGAAUGAAAAAAAAA
Molecule: long non-coding RNA, 1250 nt
Organism: Sinocyclocheilus anshuiensis
Lineage: Eukaryota; Metazoa; Chordata; Actinopteri; Cypriniformes; Cyprinidae
Exons: 3
Source: RefSeq, a predicted model, not a curated record